Molecule: long non-coding RNA, 419 nt
Organism: Cydia strobilella
Lineage: Eukaryota; Metazoa; Arthropoda; Insecta; Lepidoptera; Tortricidae
Exons: 3
Source: RefSeq, a predicted model, not a curated record
UUUUUUUUUUACUGCGUCGGUGGCAAACAAGCAUACGGCCCGCCUGGUGUUAAGCAGUCUGCGUAGCCUAUGUACGCCUGCAACUCCAGAGGAGUUACAUGCGCGUUGCCGACCCUAACACGACCGCACCCUCGUUGAGCUCUGGCAACCUUACUCACCGGCAGGAACAUGACACUAUGAGUAGGGUCUAGUGUUAUUUGGCUGCGGUUUUCUGUCAGGAUCAUGUCGUGGAGGUACUUCCCCAGUUGGGCUCUGCUCUAGAUCUGGUAUAACAUCCGCUGUGCUGUGCCCUACCACACAAAGCGAGAUGACAUUCACAGUGCCCAUACCUCUCUUUUAGACGUAGUUUAAAGACACACCCGGGUCCAAAAUUUUUUGAGUUUAUCGCGAACAUACAUACAUACAGACAGACGCGGCAG